Cinara cedri is the source of this 641-nucleotide non-coding RNA. The record is from the annotation of a GenBank genome assembly. NCBI's taxonomy places the organism in Eukaryota, Metazoa, Arthropoda, Insecta, Hemiptera, Aphididae.
CAUUUUUCUAAAAUAUUCUAAAUGACUUAAUAUAUUAUGAAAUUACUUUUAUUAUAAUUACUAUUACCAAAAUUAUUUAUAAAAAUAUAAACAAAGUAGUUGUUUAUUUCAUUUAUUAUUACUACAAAAUUAUCAUUGAAAAAAAGUUUGAACAUUAACUUUAAAAAAUAAUUAGAAUUAAAAUCUAAGAAUAUCUUGAUUAUUUGCUUAUUUUUAUUUUCGUGCUGCACUUGAAACUUGACAUCUUUUCUUUUGUACCGAGCUGUCUAUAUUUGCACAAGAAUUUCUUGUAACAGUCAAACUGUUACCCACUAUUACUGCACUUCCGAAGAAAUACAAAAAUGAUUUAUCUUUGUAGAUUAGAUUUACCGCAUUUCAAAUACUUUAUCAAGUAUAAUGGAAUUUAUGAACGAUUAAUGUAAAAAUAAAACAUUAUGGAUGUCAAAUAAUAUUCUAUGUAUUUAUGAUGCCUAAAAUAAAAUUAACGUUUUUCCAAUUUUUUCGUAUAUUUUUGUUCAAAAUGUAUUUUUAUUGCGGGCCACAUUGAAAGGCUACGCGGGCCGUAUGUUUGAGACCACUGAUCUAAAAUAUAUUGAUAUAAUGUAUUAUUUUUAAAAUUGGUUUGAACAUUAAAAAUAUAA